Lagenorhynchus albirostris (white-beaked dolphin) is the source of this 1073-nucleotide long non-coding RNA. RefSeq lists it as uncharacterized. The record is from RefSeq and is a predicted model, not a curated record. The transcript is spliced from 3 exons. NCBI's taxonomy places the organism in Eukaryota, Metazoa, Chordata, Mammalia, Artiodactyla, Delphinidae.
AGAGGAUUCAGUCUCUGUUCCGGCAGCCGUUCCGGCCCGGCAGCUCUCCUGCUCUCGGGCUGCGAGGGGGGAGCGGUGGCGUGGACUCAGAGCGCUCGGGGCCCUCCACCUGGUUCUGGCACAGGAGAGGCACCGGGUUCUGGAGAAAAGAACACGUGGUUGAGUUAGACCUGGUUGUUAUUCAGGUCUCUGUAUGGGGAACAGACACAGAUCACAAGGGUGGAAUGAAGAUGGCUAACUGGGAGUGUCGACUGAAAAAACGCACCACCUAAAAGUUGGGAAUUAUGUUUUAUUCAGCGGACAUACUGAGGACUUAAGCCCGGAGACAGCCUCUCACGUAGCUCUGAGGGAUUUCUCCAAAGAGAGGGCCCACCACGCUCCCCUCCUUCCAAAGGCUUGAAGGAGGAAAACAAGGAAUAUAGGAGACGUUCUGUGAAGAAAAGCAGAUGAACAAAGCACUUACAGUUCAGAUGAGAAGCCUCCAACGUGAGUGAGCACAUCUGCAGCCUGAAAUCCCACAGCUGGACGGUGAGGUGCCGGAGCUGCCACCGAGACCUCACAUCCUGCCUGCACCUCACCCAGAGCGAGUGCUGGACCUUCGCAGAAAGGCCGCGGAGGGGGGAAUUUACUGCGUGGAGGCAGAGAAGAAGCUCCCCGACGUGCGUGGAAACAUCAGCCUCACAGUCACUGGAGUGACCUCCUGCAGGAGGAGACGGGAGAGGGGACAGGAGAGAACAACCUCCUUCCCUGCAACAGAAACGUCUUAUCUCUUCUGAGAAGGAAGCUAGAGAAAAGUGGGCGCCAGCUCUUCCCACUGAGGGGAAGCCCAGCUAGUGAGAAGCGGGGGGGACGCGGACACCAGUCGUGGAGCAGAGGCCUGGGGCCGUGGGUCAGCAGGUCCCCGGGGCAGGAGGCCGCUGAGCCUCCAGGACUGAGGGACCCGGCUCGCUUGCGGGGGUGAUGCCACAUUCGCAGCAGCAGCCCCGCGGGCCCAGAGACCUUUACCCGUUUUCUCUCCUAAAAGCAAUUUUGAUCAAUAGUUUUUAGUUUAAUUGAUACCGCACCUGCUCUUA